AAGCAAGACAGAGAAUGAUGAAGCAGAAAGGCUCUGAUGAAACAGAUUCAUACUGGGACAAUCUUUGGGGAAAACCGAGAGACUUCCAUCGUUCAGAAGAUGAAGUGAAAGAAAGAGCAAAAAGAGUUGUUGCUGCUGCUAGAAGAUGGAGGGAGUACUCAAGGAAGGGUGUUGACAAGCCUCCCACAUUUAAACUUCCAGAGGCAGCCUCAAGCAAGGACAAGUGACCCCUAUUUGCCUACACAUCUGGUCCCAUGUAAUUAAUUCAUCCAUAGUUUGUCACAUUCCAUAAUUGUAUAUGCAAAAUUCUAAUUUGGGUAAAUAUAACACAUGAUUUAUAAAUUUUAUAAUCUAUACAGGGAUUAAUCA
Lotus japonicus is the source of this 369-nucleotide long non-coding RNA. RefSeq lists it as uncharacterized. Lineage: Eukaryota; Viridiplantae; Streptophyta; Magnoliopsida; Fabales; Fabaceae. The record is from RefSeq and is a predicted model, not a curated record. The transcript has 2 exons.